GUGAUGCCUCAGCCACGCUGACCCUUGCGAACAGGCCCGCUGCCUUCCUCAGAGCUUACUCAGCUCCCCAUUACCGUGAGAUGAGAGUGUAGGGCUGAGGUUUCCUGUCUGAGUCUAGGUAGGGCGUUUUUUCCAGGGGCACAUCGCUGGUUAACCACCAGGUCAGGGGAUAUUUUUACCAGAUCAUCAUCUUUCAAAUCAUAAUCCCCGAAUGAGAAACCCAGUUAAGAGUGGCUGCACCAUUUGGCCUUCCCACCAGCAGUGUGUGAGAGAUCCAGUUACUCCGUGUCCUCACCAACACUUGGAGGUCUACGCAGGGCUGAAGCUGGAACUGAGAUGCCUGUGGAAUAUAGGACUGUGGCCCUGUCAGGAGUCGGUGUCGUGUGUCAGUGCAAUCCACCCUCACUGGUACCGGGUUAAUCUCCCUGAAGCCUUACUGACAGAAACUUCAGUAGUUCCCAACCGCUCACAGGAUGAAGUUUAAAGUCCUAGCAAGCC
RNAcentral lists this long non-coding RNA (498 nucleotides) under Equus caballus (horse). RNAcentral describes it as "lncRNA (ENSECAG00000047681.1)". The record is from RNAcentral. Lineage: Eukaryota; Metazoa; Chordata; Mammalia; Perissodactyla; Equidae.